UUUGGUUAAGUUAGAAAGGGCGCACGGUGGAUGCCUUGACACUAGGAGUCGAUGAAGGACGGGACUAACGCCGAUAUGCUUCGGGGAGCUGUAAGUAAGCUUUGAUCCGAAGAUUUCCGAAUGGGGAAACCCACCAUACGUAAUGGUAUGGUAUCCUUAUCUGAAUACAUAGGGUAAGGAAGACAGACCCAGGGAACUGAAACAUCUAAGUACCUGGAGGAAGAGAAAGCAAAUGCGAUUUCCUGAGUAGCGGCGAGCGAAACGGAACAUAGCCCAAACCAAGAGGCUUGCCUCUUGGGGUUGUAGGACAUUCUAUACGGAGUUACAAAGGAACGAGGUAGACGAAGCGACCUGGAAAGGUCCGUCGUAGAGGGUAACAACCCCGUAGUCGAAACUUCGUUCUCUCUUGAAUGUAUCCUGAGUACGGCGGAACACGUGAAAUUCCGUCGGAAUCUGGGAGGACCAUCUCCCAAGGCUAAAUACUCCCUAGUGAUCGAUAGUGAACCAGUACCGUGAGGGAAAGGUGAAAAGC
This 532-nucleotide ribosomal RNA is filed under the name Dorea sp. BIOML-A1. RNAcentral's name for it is "partial 23S ribosomal RNA". It matches the Rfam family "Bacterial large subunit ribosomal RNA", at positions 1 to 522 of the family's 2925-position model. The record is from RNAcentral. Lineage: Bacteria; Bacillati; Bacillota; Clostridia; Lachnospirales; Lachnospiraceae.